CCCUGGGGCUGGGGCUGGCUCCCAGAUGGGGUGUUUUUUAUCUGUAAAAAUUGUUUUUAAAUAACUCAUUACAUUAUAAAAAUAAAGUUUUGGCCAGUGCUGGGAUUACAGGUGUGAGCCACCAUACCUGGCUGCUGAGACCGCUCAUCUCUCUUCCUUCCCAUUGUAGGGCAAGCUGGUAUUUCCAUUCUCCAGGAGGACUUUCCUGCUUUAUUCAACAACAAACAUCCAUUGAGCAGCUAUGGUUUCUAAGUGUGCACCACUGGGCUUAGAAUUGUUGAUGGGCUUGAGGGGAUUAAUCUCAACUCCAGC
RNAcentral lists this long non-coding RNA (312 nucleotides) under Homo sapiens (human). RNAcentral's name for it is "non-protein coding lnc-ADAMTS14-3:1". Lineage: Eukaryota; Metazoa; Chordata; Mammalia; Primates; Hominidae. The record is from RNAcentral.